This is a long non-coding RNA of Osmerus eperlanus (European smelt), 550 nucleotides long. RefSeq lists it as uncharacterized. The record is from RefSeq and is a predicted model, not a curated record. NCBI's taxonomy places the organism in Eukaryota, Metazoa, Chordata, Actinopteri, Osmeriformes, Osmeridae. The transcript is spliced from 2 exons.
AAGACGAGGAAUCCUCAAGUCUUUGAGAAGAUUUUUUCUGUUGUUUAUUUUUUUUUUGGCGCUGGUGGGAUUUGACUGUUUUGUAUCUAUACUAUCAGGAAUACCAGAGCAGAUUUUUCCAACAUCUCUUUUGUGAUUUAUGCUCUUGGCCCGUACUAUAACUGUUGCUUAUACUCAGAAAAUAACUACCCGAAUUAUGCAGUCGAUCAAUUGCACUGAGACUCUGGCCAAUAAGAAGCAUGCUCAAUCAUUCUUACUACCCUAACCUUUUCAACCCCUUAUAUCAGGAAAACUAUUCAUUGUUGUUUCUUUUUUUCCCAUGAUCGUUUAAGCGUCUUUGAUAGAUUUGUUACAACAUUUUAAGUUGAUUCUUCGUCCUCUUGGGGUUGAUUCAUUCCAUCUUAGGAGUCUUCUUAGAGAGAGUUCCGUGUUUCAAGAUGUUUUUAAAUGUUUUGUCUCUGUCGGUAUUAAGGUCAGUGAACGUUCAUUGCAAAAUGUUAGUCUCUCACCAUUUGCAUAUUACUCUUUAAUAAAAAUCGAUUAUUAUUUU